Podarcis lilfordi (Lilford's wall lizard) is the source of this 71-nucleotide non-coding RNA. NCBI's taxonomy places the organism in Eukaryota, Metazoa, Chordata, Lepidosauria, Squamata, Lacertidae. The record is from the annotation of a GenBank genome assembly.
GGACCGUAGCUCAGUGGUAGGACAUUUGCUUCGCAUGCAGAAGGUCCUAGGUUCAAUUCCUGGCAUCUCCA